RNAcentral lists this long non-coding RNA (584 nucleotides) under Zea mays. Its description in RNAcentral is "long non-coding RNA (ZMAY_LNC001974)". The record is from RNAcentral. Lineage: Eukaryota; Viridiplantae; Streptophyta; Magnoliopsida; Poales; Poaceae.
CGGCUUUUGCCAAAAGCAUCAGUAGAAUUGAUGGAGGCAACACCAUGCAAUGUAGAGAAUGCUGUUAGUCCACAGGCUGUGGGUGACAAGUUGUGUUGUCCACCUCUUCAGAAUUUUAAUUUGGAGAAGGAACUAAAUAAUAUACAAUACUUCACUGGAAGAGGAAGCAGCGAUGGUGUAACAAGUAGUAAAUGUCCAGCAACGCCUCCAGAGGAACCUAAGCAAUCUGAAACAAUGGCUUCUGUUUUUGCAAAGAGAUUGGAUGCACUUAGACAUGCAAACACCUCUGCAGUAAGCUUGGCUAUCGCGUGUGAGCAUGGAAGUCCCAAACUGAGAAACCACAAAACUAACUCUUUUGUUGUUAGUUACAGCAGCCAUGAUAAAGUAGAGGCAGGACAUGAAAAUCAUAAAUCUUCUAGUGGAAACGGAAGAAUAGUUUUGUGGGUAGGUGACAAAGGCAAGGAACCGAUGUGUCUAAACAAUGAAGAAUUAAGAGGAAACUUCAUAUCUGAGCGUGAGCAUCAGCAUCAUGGAGGGAACACAGCUGGAAAAUUGGCAACUCAGCAUAAUUUAGAACUGAACAU